Molecule: long non-coding RNA, 490 nt
Filed under: Salmo salar (Atlantic salmon)
Lineage: Eukaryota; Metazoa; Chordata; Actinopteri; Salmoniformes; Salmonidae
Description: lncRNA (ENSSSAG00000118303.1)
Source: RNAcentral
GAAUUUGUAAGUGGUCAGCCUGGGGACAGUGAGACUGGAGAUGCGCGGUCACGAGACUACUCCAUUUUUUUCUUUCAGCCUUUGAAUGAAUACAACGUUGCCUGGUUGGAAUAUUAUCGCUAUUUUACGAGAAGAAUAGCAUAAAAAUUGAUUUUAAACAGCGUUUGACAUGCUUCUAAGUACGGUAAUGGAAUAUUUAGAAUUUUUUGUCACGAAAUGAGAUCGCGCAUCACCCUUCGGAUAGUGACCUGAACGCACGAACAAAACGGAGCUAUUUGAAUAUAACUAUGGAUUAUUUGGAACCAAAACAACAUUUGUUGUAGAAGUCCUGGGAGUGCAUUCUGACGAAGAACAUCAAAGGCCCAUCCCUCCCCCCCAUGUCAUCGAGGGCCAGCCAGCGUACACGGUGAGACGCCUCCUGAGGGUUCGACCACGGGGCAGGGGUUUCCAGUACCUGGUUGACUGGGAGGGUUAUGGCCCGGAGGAGCGG